Molecule: ribosomal RNA, 1337 nt
Filed under: metagenome
Description: bacterial LSU rRNA
Rfam family: Bacterial large subunit ribosomal RNA
Source: RNAcentral
UGAGUACGAGCUGCUACGGCAGCGAAGUGGGUGAUGUCAAGCUUCCAAGAAAAGCCCUAUACCCGUUAAGGCAUGAUGGCCUGUACCCGAAACCGACACAGGUGGGGUGGUAGAGAAUACCGAGGGGCGCGAGAUAACUCUCUCUAAGGAACUCGGCAAAAUGGCCCCGUAACUUCGGGAGAAGGGGUGCCACCGCAAGGUGGUCGCAGUGAAGAGGCCCAGGCGACUGUUUACCAAAAACACAGGUCUCCGCUAAGUCGCAAGACGAUGUAUGGGGGCUGACGCCUGCCCAGUGCCGGAAGGUUAAGGAAGCUGGUCAGCGUAAGCGAAGCUAGCGACUGAAGCCCCGGUGAACGGCGGCCGUAACUAUAACGGUCCUAAGGUAGCGAAAUUCCUUGUCGGGUAAGUUCCGACCCGCACGAAAGGCGUAACGAUCUGGGCGCUGUCUCGGAGAGAGGCUCGGCGAAAUAGAAUUGUCUGUGAAGAUGCGGACUACGUGCACCCGGACAGAAAGACCCUAUGAAGCUUUACUGUAGCUUGGUAUUGUGCCCGGGCUCUGAAUGCGCAGGAUAGGUGGGAGGCUUUGAUCCAUUGCUUGUGGGUGAUGGUGAGCCAACGGUGAGAUACCACUCUUUCAGAGCUAGGGUUCUAACGGUCACCCGUCAUCCGGGGACCGGACAGUAUCAGGUGGGCAGUUUGACUGGGGCGGUCGCCUCCUAAAAGGUAACGGAGGCGCGCAAAGGUUUGCUCAGGCUGGUUGGAAAUCAGCCGACGAGUGUAAAAGCAGAAGCAAGCUUGACUGUGAGACCUACAAGUCGAACAGGGACGAAAGUCGGCUUUAGUGAUCCGACGGUUCUGAGUGGAAGGGCCGUCGCUCAACGGAUAAAAGUUACUCUAGGAUAACAGGCUGAUCUCCCCCAAGAGUUCACAUCGACGGGGAGGUUUGGCACCUCGAUGUCGGCUCAUCGCAACCUGGGGCUGAAGUCGGUCCCAAGGGUUGGGCUGUUCGCCCAUUAAAGCGGUACGCGAGCUGGGUUCAGAACGUCGUGAGACAGUUCGGUCCAUAUCCGGUGCAUGCGCAGGAAUAUUGAGAGGAUUUCUCCCUAGUACGAGAGGACCGGGAGGAACGCACCUCUGGUGUGCCAGUUAUCGUGCCAACGGUAAACGCUGGGUAGCCAUGUGCGGAGAGGAUAACCGCUGAAAGCAUCUAAGUGGGAAGCCCACCUCAAGAUGAGUAUUCCCAUGGCGUUAGCCAGUAAGGUCACGGGCAGAACACCCGUUGAUAGGCUCUACGUGGAAGCCGGGUAACCGGUGAAGCGGAGGAGUACUAAUAGACC